Molecule: long non-coding RNA, 2010 nt
Organism: Camelus dromedarius (Arabian camel)
Lineage: Eukaryota; Metazoa; Chordata; Mammalia; Artiodactyla; Camelidae
Product: ankyrin repeat domain-containing protein 26
Exons: 10
Source: RefSeq, a predicted model, not a curated record
CAUUCAUUCAGAAGCUUAAUAGAAUGUAAAGAAUCUGACUGUGAACUACUUAGAGGAAAAGUUAAAAAAAUGGAAAAUAAGGUUAACAAGCUACAAAAAGAGCUUUUGGAAACAAGACACAUGAAUUCACAGUUAGAACGUCAAAAUGUGGUGUGGGAACGAGAGCUCUGCAGUAUGAGGGAGAAACAAUACAAUGAACAGGUUUUCCAGAAACAGCAACUUGAAAGCACUCUCCAACCACUACAAUUUGAACUGAAGAGCAUAAGGAAUAAACCGAGUCAGGACACAAUGAAUUUUGAGGUGUCUGACCCAAAAGAUAACGGCGAGGUGCUUCCUCCGCAACUUCCUGAAGCUGAAAGUCAAUACCGUGGCCCAGAAAUUGAGCUACGUCCCAGGAGAGAUGCUCUUAGACCAGUGACGGUAUUAGAAUGUGUGCAUAGAGACCAAACCCAAGCCCAGUGUUCAAAGAAGGAAAUUGAACUCUUGUAUCGGCACAAACAAGGGAAAGUCAAUAAAUACGCUGCAAAGCAGGCAUUCUUGGAGGACAGAUUAUGUGAACUACAAAGUGAAAACAUGUUGCUUCGACAGCAACUGGAAGUUGCUCAAAAUGAAGCCAAAAGUAAAAAGACAAUUAAUAUCCGAGAGCCGUUUCCAGACCAUAUGAGUAAAGCCGCGCAUAAACAACUUCUGAUGCUGGAGGAAGGAAACAAGGAAUUAAUCAAUGACUGCAAAUGUGUAAAAGACAGAAUGUAUCAGUAUGAAACUGACAGAGCAGAAAUGCAAGCCUGUGUGAGACGGCUUCAACAAGAGCUGACUGACACCCGAAAGAAAGUGUUCAUGUUGGAAGCUUCCCUGGAGGUGACAACAGCACGUCAUCAGACUAAUGUAGAAAAUAAGACACAGGAUUUAGAGAGGAAAUUACAUCAAAUUGCAGACCAAAAUGCUGAUCUUACAGCAAAGCUGCAGUCGACAACUUCAGCCCUUCUCCAUCUGAGUGCAGAAACACAGCUCCUUCUAAAAGAGUUAUUAUCUAUGAAAAGGAUGCAAAAGAAAUGUGAAACAUUAGAGGAGGAGAAAAAGAAGUUGGAAGAAGAAGUAGUAAACCUCAAACAUCACCUAGAAGUGAACACAGUGGAACGCAGUCAAGUGGAGCAGUACAAACAGGAGAUUGAAGAGCGAGCAAGAUGGGAUGUAGCCGAAAAAUUGACAGAACUCAGUCAAGUCGUGCAGUGCAAGAGGGAGGCUGAAGAGCGAGCAAAACAGGAUGUGGCAGGAAUGUUGAAAGAACUCAGCCAGUUUUUACAGACACAAGCAGCGUACGAAGAAAACUUGUUAAGAGAAUAUAAAAAUGCUUCAAUAAGUCAAAUGAAGCAUAAAAUUAAAUAUCUGGAAUCUGAACUGAAAAGUAAAACUUUUCAGUUAGAUGCUGAGAAAAAAGAACUGGAAAAAUACAGACAACUGUACCUCGAAGAGCCAGAAGAUAGAACAUCAUGGGCAAGUCAAUUACACUCGAUUAACGAGAGGCUGGUAGUGAUGAACACUAAACUUCAGAUGGCGGAAGAGUACAAGAGUUCUGUCCUCAAAACUGUUCCUACAAGGCCUGCUGAAAAAUUUCAUGAUAGCUCAGAGCACAAAUGGACUCUCACUCAAAGUACAAACUUCAGGAUUUUUUCAGAACCUUCAACUAGCAUGCACAAGAAGUUGGGAAAUAAUGCAGCUAGAGAAGUAAAAGAAGCUACUCCUAAACUUCAGUCUGAGUCCUACCGAACUCCUCGAGGAUCUUCAAAAGAGUCAAGAUUAAUUGACGAUAUGCUUUUGAACGCAUGUAAAGAAUAUGAGGAGGUUUUGAAGAGAAAGUAUCUGUUAUACGAUGUUACAGAGGAACAGUAAACAUUUACCUGCUGGGCUGCUUGGGAGAGUUUCAUCUGGAACCAGGCUGUCCUGUCAUUGAUCUGAACUGGCUUUCUGGAGAAUUAGGUUGUGCCUCUGUGAUCUUGCUGUGUACCCCGU